AAUCAAGGAACGACUAAAGUUUUCUUAUAUGGAGAAGUUUUCUUCAUCGUUUAUUGCCAUUCUUGAUUUCCCUCGAACGCUGGAUCUUUCGUUGCUUGCUACGGAUUUUCUUGUCUCUGACUAAACGUGCGUGUUAUGAAAAUAGUAACCUACUAGGCAGUAACUCGCGAUGUGAGCGGAGUAAAAUAGUUUAUUAGAUUAUUUAUAGUAUGUUGUACUAAAAGAUUUGUCAUAUAGCUUUUUUUGGAAUAAAUAUUCAUAUAUCUGUUCGAAUUCUGUUGAUCUAUCGGGAUUUCACACUUUUAGAGUUAUAUAUUUAAAUCUUAUUCAGAUAUUUACAAAUUUUGGUUUAGAUUUGGUUUCGAAUCUUUGCGGGUUCAGUUCGGAUUCGAGUUCGGAUACCCAUUUUAAUCAGGUAUUUUUUAACAAAUAUCUUAAUAUACUUAAAUGCUCAAAAUCCAAAAAUAAAAUAAUAUAAAACAUAAAAAAUUAAUAAUGUAAGACUAACUAUUUAAAUUUACAUAAAAAUUCAUUCAAUUUAAAUAUUUGGAUGGAGAACAAAUAAAUAUUAUCAGUAUUUUUAACAUUUACUGUUAUUUUUAGAUAUUUAAUUGUGUCUAUGUUGAUAAUUUUGAGAUACUUUCAUAUUUUUGAAUAUCUAAUGAAUAUAAAAUUUAAAAUAAUUAAUAUAUUUAAAUAUAUAAUUGAGAUUUAGAUAUUUUGGUAUCCAAAAUAUUUUAUUUUGGAUUAGAUUCGAUUCUUGUUAUCUAGAUAUUAAACUUUUAAUCCAUCUGAAUAUACUUAAUCGUUUUAGUUUGUGUUUAGUAUUACUUUCAAAUCUAGUUCGAUUCAGUUUCAGAUCCAGAUGAGUUAAUCAAAUAAAUAGUGUGUGAACACAUUAAAUUAUUUGCGGUAGAGUUAAAAAAUUAGUGUGUGAAUGCAAUAAUUGUUAAAUGAUUGUGAGACCGACACGUCAGCAUACUCAAAUUGAAAUCAAUGUGAAGCUAUAACGUAGAAAAUAUAAUGUGAACGCAUUAAUUACAAAUGUUUCACUUUUAAUAUAUUGGAGAUACUAAAAUACGAUAAUAAAAAAAAAAUCUAUACUAUACUAAAAGGCCAAUAUACUGAAAGAAGAAGCAUGCCACGUGUGUUUGGAAAAUCAUCCAAUCAAAUAUAAUUAUUCUGCCACAUCAUUUUGCCUACUCACAUACAGCCACUUCGUGUCUUUACAGAAAACAGUUACGAAAAUCAUCCACGGACCACGGUCAAUCUCAUCUCUUCGCCUUCUUCCCAAAUUUAUUGCCAUUGAUCUCUUCCUCUCAUUCCCUGUAAUUUCGUUUCUGAUAAGCUUAAUUUCUCAUCACCCAUGAUCUAUAUUCAAUAUGGGUUCCUGAGACUGCGAGGCGAUUGCGUUCGACGAUAAAAGGUAUGAGCUCUUGCGUUUAGAAUCAUCUUCUCAUCUAUUCUAAACUAAACAUCAAAGAAAAAAAGUGUGAUUGUGGUGAACGCUUUGGUUUCCUCUCCGAUCUAUAAACUGGCCGCUCUUCCUCCACUGUUCAAAUCGCCUGCUUCGAUCUACAGAAGUCAGUCGAUGUUCUUCAACCAUGGCGGUGAGUUUUCUAAGAUUCUGGGAAGCCAGAAACGUCGAGAGAUGAUGGCGUCGAUAUGCUCUUACUGGAUUCAAAGGCGACCCUCAUGCUGGCCACUGUGAAUGUUAACCGGCUUGCAACUUACAGGACUUAUCUCAAGGAGGGUUCAAUGUAUUCCAUCACCGGUUUUGAUAUUCAAUGUUCCGUGAAAUCAGAACUUCUGGCUUUCCUACUCCUCCCUGUUGAUUAGAUUCAGUGAUGCUACCUCUUUGGAUGAAAUAACUAAACCGGCUUCACCCAUACCUGAAGAAUGUUUCAGGUUAUGUAAUAACACGAGAUGCUUGGUCUUGCCGACUCACACUCAAUUCCCAAGUAUUUACACUCUAUUUCAACAAGGAGACUAAUGCUGGGGAAAGCUAUUUUUACAAGCUGGUCUCUAGCGACACUGGGCAUGCAUCAGCAGCUCCACUGCUGAGGGGCUAUGCCAAGGUUGAGCCUCUGACUAUAGCUGAGCUCAAAUGAAUUCAGUGACAAGAAUGAAGAAGGGCUCAGAUAGACAAAGGGUGAUGCUACGUUUCUUGCUCCAACUGUACCAGGAAGCUUCAACGCACUAUCUCAGCCUUUACAUGUGUUCACUGCAACAAUACUAAAGCUGUUGGUGUCCUUCGGCAUGUAUAAUUCCGUAGCAUGUUGUUUACAUUCAUUUUGGUAUCACGUGUAGGUCUCAACUUUUUAUACACGUUCACUGUCUUAUAGCUACCUUGUGGAGAUGGCCAUUGCUGAUGAUACUGCUGUAGAGUCUAUUUUUCUGCUUUGACAGGGUAAUGACGAAACUGCAUAACAUGAGAGUCUAUGAAGAUGAUAUUCCUGGUGCCAUCUCGGUACCUGCUAAGGCAGAGCCGAAUACAUGAGCAGGUCUAAGUGGUGUCAACACAACUAAGUCUCCAGCACUAGGGUGUUCUAAGAUGGUCAAGAAAGCACGCAAGUCAUAGAUUAAAAUAAUGAUAGAUCUGGCAUCAGUAUUUCCUCUUUGAAUAAUGCUUAGGCAUUGUUGUUUUUCUUUUGUUUUUGAACAAGUUCGUUUAUGUUUUACUCCUCUUUUGGUUAAUUUAUGUUUGGUUUAGACUCUCUUUAUAAAAUAUGUCUCAGUUUCCACAAUUGUUGUACAUCUAACUCACUAUUUAUUUAAGACGGACGACACUUGGUCCCAGCU
This is a long non-coding RNA of Brassica napus (rape), 2802 nucleotides long. RefSeq lists it as uncharacterized. Lineage: Eukaryota; Viridiplantae; Streptophyta; Magnoliopsida; Brassicales; Brassicaceae. The transcript has 4 exons. The record is from RefSeq and is a predicted model, not a curated record.